GAUGAACGCUGGCGGCGUGCCUAAUACAUGCAAGUCGAGCGAACGGACGAGAAGCUUGCUUCUCUGAUGUUAGCGGCGGACGGGUGAGUAACACGUGGAUAACCUACCUAUAAGACUGGGAUAACUUCGGGAAACCGUAGCUAAUACCGGAUAAUAUUUUGAACCGCAUGGUUCAAAAGUGAAAGACGGUCUUGCUGUCACUUAUAGAUGGAUCCGCGCUGCAUUAUCUAGUUGGUAAGGUAACGGCUUACCAAGGCAACGAUGCAUAGCCGACCUGAGAGGGUGAUCGGCCACACUGGAACUGAGACACGGUCCAGACUCCUACGGGAGGCAGCAGUAGGGAAUCUUCCGCAAUGGGCGAAAGCCUGACGGAGCAACGCCGCGUGAGUGAUGAAGGUCUUCGGAUCGUAAAACUCUGUCAUUAGGGAAGAACAUAUGUGUAAGUAACUGUGCACAUCUUGACGGUACCUAAUCAGAAAGCCACGGCUAACUACGU
Molecule: ribosomal RNA, 496 nt
Filed under: uncultured bacterium
Lineage: Bacteria
Description: partial 16S ribosomal RNA
Rfam family: Bacterial small subunit ribosomal RNA
Source: RNAcentral